Molecule: ribosomal RNA, 460 nt
Filed under: uncultured bacterium
Lineage: Bacteria
Description: partial 16S ribosomal RNA
Rfam family: Bacterial small subunit ribosomal RNA
Source: RNAcentral
CCUACGGGAGGCAGCAGUGAGGAAUAUUGGUCAAUGGGCGGGAGCCUGAACCAGCCAAGUCGCGUGAGGGAAGACGGUCCUAUGGAUUGUAAACCUCUUUAGGCGGGGAGCAAUGCCGGGCACGCGUGCCCGGAGGGAGAGUACCCGCAGAAUAAGCAUCGGCUAACUCCGUGCCAGCAGCCGCGGUAAUACGGAGGAUGCGAGCGUUAUCCGGAUUUAUUGGGUUUAAAGGGUGCGUAGGCGGAUUUUUAAGUCAGCGGUAAAAUGUCCGGGCUCAACCCGGGCCGGCCGUUGAAACUGCUCUUCUAGAGUGGGCGAGAAGUAUGCGGAAUGCGUGGUGUAGCGGUGAAAUGCAUAGAUAUCACGCAGAACUCCGAUUGCGAAGGCAGCAUACCGGCGCCCAACUGACGCUCAUGCACGAAAGCGUGGGUAUCGAACAGGAUUAGAUACCCUUGUAGUC